RNAcentral lists this ribosomal RNA (445 nucleotides) under Creontiades coloripes. Its description in RNAcentral is "partial large subunit ribosomal RNA". It matches the Rfam family "Bacterial large subunit ribosomal RNA", at positions 1944 to 2600 of the family's 2925-position model. The record is from RNAcentral. Lineage: Eukaryota; Metazoa; Arthropoda; Insecta; Hemiptera; Miridae.
GACUGUACAAAGGUAGCAUAAUCAUUUGUCUCUUAAUUGGGGACUGGUAUGAAUGGUCGGAUGAGAAAUAUACUUUCUUUAUUUUAUAUAAAAAAAUUGAUUUUUUAGUUAAAAAGCUAAAAUUAUUUUAUAGGACGAGAAGACCCUAUAGAACUUUAUAUAUCGAUAUAUAUAUAAAUUAUAUAUUUUUAAAUUUAUAUAUGUUUGGAUAUAUUAUGUUGGGGUGACAAAAAAAAUUAUAUAACUUUUUUUAUAUACAACAUUUAUAUAUGUUUUUUUGAUCCUUUAUUAUGGAUAAUAAGAUUAAGUUACCUUAGGGAUAACAGCGUUAUUUUUUCGGAGAGUUCAUAUUGAUGAAGAAGUUUGCGACCUCGAUGUUGGAUUAAAAUAAGUUACAGGGGUAUAAUAUUGUAUACUAGGUCUGUUCGACCUUUAAAUUUUUACA